RNAcentral lists this ribosomal RNA (714 nucleotides) under Triticum aestivum (bread wheat). RNAcentral's name for it is "partial small subunit ribosomal RNA". The record is from RNAcentral. Lineage: Eukaryota; Viridiplantae; Streptophyta; Magnoliopsida; Poales; Poaceae.
AUUCUUUGAGCCAAAUAUUACCCUGAUGGGGAUCUAUUAAAUGCUACUCUAAAGAAGAAGGCCUCCUAUACUUGGCAAAGUAUAAUGGAGGGUGUCAAAACACUCAAACUUGGGCAUAUUUGGCGCAUCGAAGAUGGACAGAAGGUAAAUAUGUGGACUGAUGCUUGGAUCCCUCAGUCUCCUUCAAGGCUGCCCAUUAUUGUGAGAGGUAAUCAGUUACUAACUAAAGUUUUAGAUCUAAUUGACCCAACAACGGGACAAUGGGAUGUACAACUGAUUAAGCAAACUUUUUGGCCGGUGGACGCUGAGAGGAUCUUGAAUAUUCCUCUCCCAUCUUUUGACAUGCCUGAUUUCUUGGCAUGGCAUCCCUCCAAUCAUGGUAUCUUCUCGGUGAAAUCGGCUUACCUAGAGGUGUGGAAAAACUGUUAUGAAAGUAAAGUGGAAAUAGGAAACAUUCCAAGUGUUGCAGCUUCAAACCCGAUAUGGGAAUUCAUUUGGAAACUUCCAUGUCCAGCUAAGAUAAAGAUCUUUCUAUGGAGAACUCUACAUGGCACGCUUCCUUGCCGUGUAAACUUAGCAGAUCGGCAUAUGAAACUAUCCACGAAGUGUCCUUCUUGCGAAGAAGCUGAAAGUGUUAAGCACAUGCUCUUUUUAUGCCCAAAAGCAAAGCAAGUAUGGUAUAUGCUGGGUCUCCAGGAGGUGAUUGAGUGGUGA